GCAGCCUUCCGCGUCGCUGUUGCCUCUGCCACUUCCUCCGCCGCCGUGUGCCCUUCGGAGUCCCGCGCCCCACCAUGCCCAACAUCGUGCUGUUCAGCGGCAGCUCGCAUCAGGACCAGUCCCAGCGCGUGGCGGACCGCCUGGGCCUGGAACUGGGCAAGGUGGUCACCAAGAAGUUCAGCAACCAGGAGACCAGCGUGGAGAUUGGGGAAAGUGUGAGAGGUGAAGAUGUCUACAUCAUGCAGAGCGCUGCGGGGAAAUUAACGACAACCUGAUGGAGCUCCUCAUCAUGAUCAAUGCCUGCAAGAUUGCAUCAUCGUCCAGGGUGACUGCCGUGAUCCCGUGUUUCCCAUAUGCCUAACAACAUAAAAAGGACAAGAGUCGUGCCCCAGUUUCUGUAAAACUUGUGGCCAAUAUGCUGUCGGUGGCUGGGGCGGAUCACAUCGUCACCAUGGACCUGCAUGCCUCUCGGAUACGGGGAUUCUUUGAUAUUCCUGUGGAUAAUUUGUAUGCGGAGCCCGCAGUCCUGCAGUGGAUUCGGGAAAAUAUUGCUGAGUGGAAGAACUGUAUAUUAUUGUUUCACGUGAUGCAGGGGGAGCCAAAGGGUCACGUCAAUCGCAGACAGGUUGAAUGUGCAAUUUGCUUUCAUCCGCAAAGAGAGGAAGAAGGCGAAUGAAGUGGACCGGAUGGUCCUGGUGGGCGACGUGAAGGACCGCGUGGCCAUCCUCGUGGAUGACAUGGCUGACACAUGCAGCACCGUCUGCCAUGCCGCGGACAAGCUGCUGUCAGCUGGAGCCACCAAAGUGUAUGCUGUCCUUAUCCAUGGGAUCUCGUCUGGACCAGCUAUUUCCAGAAUAAAUAAUGCUGCCUUUGAGGCUGUGGUCGUCACAAACACAAUUCCGCAAGAGGACAAAAUGAAACACUGCACCAAGAUUCAGGUCACUGACAUUUCCAUGAUCUUGGCCGAAGCAAUCCGAAGGGCACACAAUGGGGAAUCCGUGUCCUACCUGUUCAGCCAUGCCCCACUAUAA
Molecule: RNA transcript, 1031 nt
Organism: Mandrillus leucophaeus (drill)
Lineage: Eukaryota; Metazoa; Chordata; Mammalia; Primates; Cercopithecidae
Gene name: ribose-phosphate pyrophosphokinase 2 pseudogene
Exons: 1
Source: RefSeq, a predicted model, not a curated record